This 503-nucleotide ribosomal RNA is filed under the name uncultured bacterium. RNAcentral's name for it is "partial 16S ribosomal RNA". It matches the Rfam family "Bacterial small subunit ribosomal RNA", at positions 30 to 523 of the family's 1533-position model. The record is from RNAcentral.
AUUGAACGCUGGCGGCAGGCUUAACACAUGCAAGUCGAGCGGGGUGAUGGUGCUUGCACUAUCACUUAGCGGCGGACGGGUGAGUAAUGCUUAGGAAUCUGCUUAUUAGUGGGGGACAACAUCUCGAAAGGGAUGCUAAUACCGCAUACGUCCUACGGGAGAAAGCAGGGGAUCACUUGUGACCUUGCGCUAAUAGAUGAGCCUAAGUCGGAUUAGCUAGUUGGUGGGGUAAAGGCCUACCAAGGCGACGAUCUGUAGCGGGUCUGAGAGGAUGAUCCGCCACACUGGGACUGGAACACGGCCCAGACUCCUACUGGAGGCAGCAGUGGGGAAUAUUGGACAAUGGGGGGAACCCUGAUCCAGCCAUGCCGCGUGUGUGAAGAAGGCCUUAUGGUUGUAAAGCACUUUAAGCGAGGAGGAGGCUCUUUUGGUUAAUACCCAAGAUGAGUGGACGUUACUCGCAGAAUAAGCACCGGCUAACUCUGUGCCAGCCGCCGCGGUAA